Molecule: ribosomal RNA, 301 nt
Filed under: uncultured bacterium
Lineage: Bacteria
Description: partial 16S ribosomal RNA
Rfam family: Bacterial small subunit ribosomal RNA
Source: RNAcentral
CAGUCGCCACGGUAAUACGGAGGGUGCAAGCGUUAAUCGGAAUUACUGGGCGUAAAGCGUGCGUAGGCGGUUCGUUAAGUCUGUUGUGAAAGCCCCGGGCUCAACCUGGGAAUGGCAAUGGAUACUGGCGAGCUAGAGUGUGUCAGAGGAUGGUGGAAUUCCCGGUGUAGCGGUGAAAUGCGUAGAGAUCGGGAGGAACAUCAGUGGCGAAGGCGGCCAUCUGGGACAACACCGACGCUGAGGCACGAAAGCGUGGGGAGCAAACAGGAUUAGAUACCCCCGUAGUCCCUGUCUCUUAUAC